This 63-nucleotide transfer RNA is filed under the name Ichthyoxenos japonensis. RNAcentral's name for it is "tRNA-Asn". The record is from RNAcentral. Lineage: Eukaryota; Metazoa; Arthropoda; Malacostraca; Isopoda; Cymothoidae.
UUUGAUAAAACCAAAACAGAGGUAUAUCUUUGUUAAAGAUUUAAAUGGUUACACCUAUCACAU